AUUUUCUAUCAGUAUUGUAAAUAUCAAGUGAGGCUCUGAAAUGAUGAUCAGUGCCAGCAUCCUCAAAGAAUCCCUUCUUUGCCAACUUCAUUAGCAAGCAGAUGGUGCAGAAUAUUACCUUUAAGGUGUGCUCGUUCUGCGCCAUUUACCAUUGUACAGAAAACAUGCAUAAAGUACUGUAAACUAUUUUUUCACCUCAAUAAAAUACAAUUAUAAUCUUUACUGUAGUAUAAUAGGCAUAGAAGGUUGAUUAAAUGAACUUAUAUUUGUCACAUGAAAAGAGUAGUGAGUGCUACCAGCUUGUGACUGAUGUUUCUUAGGAAAACGGUGGAAACGCGGAUGGUUGGCACAGCUUGUAACAAUUUUAUGUGAUGUGCAGGACUCUCCAUAUCUCCCAAUUGUUCCAGAUCUAACAAGGACAAUAUAUACCGCCCAAUAAAC
This is a non-coding RNA of Pelobates cultripes (western spadefoot toad), 441 nucleotides long. The record is from the annotation of a GenBank genome assembly. Lineage: Eukaryota; Metazoa; Chordata; Amphibia; Anura; Pelobatidae.